ACAGGGAUUGCCUCAGUAACGGCGAGUGAAGCGGCAACAGCUCAAAUUUGAAAUCUGGCCCCCUCGGGGCCCGAGUUGUAAUUUGGAGAAGAUGCUUCGGGUGCGGCCCCGGUCUAAGUUCCUUGGAACAGGACGUCACAGAGGGUGAGAAUCCCGUACGUGCCCGGUGGUCGCCCCCGUGUGAAGCUCUUUCGACGAGUCGAGUUGUUUGGGAAUGCAGCUCAAAAUGGGUGGUAAAUUUCAUCUAAAGCUAAAUAUUGGCCAGAGACCGAUAGCGCACAAGUAGAGUGAUCGAAAGAUGAAAAGCACUUUGGAAAGAGAGUUAAACAGUACGUGAAAUUGUUGAAAGGGAAGCGCUUGCAACCAGACUUGCGCGCGGCCGAUCAUCCGGUGCUCGCACCGGUGCACUCGACCGCGCGCAGGCCAGCAUCGGUUUGGGCGGCUGGACAAAGGCCGCGGGAACGUGGCUCCCCCCGGGGAGUGUUAUAGCCCGCGGCGCAAUGCAGCCCGCCCGGACCGAGGACCGCGCUCCGGCUAGGAUGCUGGCGUAAUGGUUGUAAGCGAC
Molecule: ribosomal RNA, 565 nt
Filed under: Oidiodendron tenuissimum
Lineage: Eukaryota; Fungi; Ascomycota; Leotiomycetes; Myxotrichaceae
Description: partial 28S ribosomal RNA
Rfam family: Eukaryotic large subunit ribosomal RNA
Source: RNAcentral